CCUACGGGCGGCAGCAGUGGGGAAUAUUGGGCAAUGGGCGCAAGCCUGACCCAGCAACGCCGCGUGAAGGAAGAAGGCUUUCGGGUUGUAAACUUCUUUUCUCAGGGACGAAACAAGUGACGGUACCUGAGGAAUAAACCACGGCUAACUACGUGCCAGCAGCCGCGGUAAUACGUAGGCGGCAAGCGUUAUCCGGAUUUACUGGGUGUAAAGGGCGUGUAGGGGGGGACGGUAGUCAGGUGUGAAAACCACGGGGUCAACCUGUGGCCUGCAUUUGAAACUGUGUUUCUUGAGUACUGGAGAGGCAGACGGAAUUCCUAGUGUAGCGGUGAAAUGCGUAGAUAUUAGGAGGAACCCCAGUGGCGAAGGCGGUCUGCUGGACAGCAACUGACGCUGAGGCGCGAAAGCGUGGGGAGCAAACAGGAUUAGAUACCCGUGUAGUC
This 443-nucleotide ribosomal RNA is filed under the name uncultured bacterium. Its description in RNAcentral is "partial 16S ribosomal RNA". It matches the Rfam family "Bacterial small subunit ribosomal RNA", at positions 338 to 795 of the family's 1533-position model. The record is from RNAcentral.